This 233-nucleotide small RNA is filed under the name Pongo abelii (Sumatran orangutan). RNAcentral's name for it is "processed transcript". The record is from RNAcentral. Lineage: Eukaryota; Metazoa; Chordata; Mammalia; Primates; Hominidae.
CUUCUGUUAAAUUCUUCCCCCUUGGCCGAGGUUCUGUGAUAUGAGCAACAAUGGACCAGAAGAUUUUAUCUCUAGCAGCAGAAAAAACAGCAGACAAACUGCAAGAAUUUCUUCAAACCCUGAGAGAAGAAUAAGAGUAAGAGCCUGAACUAUACGGGAGAGAAAAAGGAGAAACCUGCUGCCGUUGCCACAGCCAUGGCCAGAGUUCUUCGGGAAACCAAGCCAAUCCCUAA